This is a small nuclear RNA of Callithrix jacchus (white-tufted-ear marmoset), 104 nucleotides long. Lineage: Eukaryota; Metazoa; Chordata; Mammalia; Primates; Cebidae. The record is from Ensembl.
GCGCUCACUUCGGCAGCACACAUACUAAAAUUGGAACAAUACGUAGAUUAGCGUGGCUCCGGCACAAGGAUGACACAGAAAUUCUUGAAGCCUUGCAUAUUUUU